This 85-nucleotide transfer RNA is filed under the name Paenilisteria weihenstephanensis. RNAcentral's name for it is "Listeria weihenstephanensis tRNA-Leu". It matches the Rfam family "tRNA". From Rfam's summary of the family: Transfer RNA (tRNA) molecules are approximately 80 nucleotides in length. Their secondary structure includes four short double-helical elements and three loops (D, anti-codon, and T loops). The record is from RNAcentral. Lineage: Bacteria; Bacillati; Bacillota; Bacilli; Caryophanales; Listeriaceae. RNAcentral also lists the same sequence under 1 other name.
GCGGGUGUGGCGGAAUUGGCAGACGCACCAGAUUUAGGAUUUGGCGCCGCAAGGUGUGAAGGUUCAAGUCCUUUCACCCGCACUA